Macaca fascicularis (crab-eating macaque) is the source of this 126-nucleotide small nuclear RNA. Its record names the gene U2. It matches the Rfam family "U2 spliceosomal RNA". Rfam says of the family: U2 is a small nuclear RNA (snRNA) component of the spliceosome (involved in pre-mRNA splicing). Complementary binding between U2 snRNA (in an area lying towards the 5' end but 3' to hairpin I) and the branchpoint sequence (BPS) of the intron results the bulging out of an unpaired adenosine, on the BPS, which initiates a nucleophilic attack at the intronic 5' splice site, thus starting the first of two transesterification reactions that mediate splicing. Lineage: Eukaryota; Metazoa; Chordata; Mammalia; Primates; Cercopithecidae. The record is from Ensembl.
AUCGCUUCUCGGCCUUUUGGCUAAGAUCAAGUGCAGUAAAAUAAUGACCAAAAAAUUCUGUGUGUGUGCAAAUACAGACAUGUGUAUAUCUUUAUCUGUAAGAUUUUAUGACUAUGAAAAAAAUUU